This 264-nucleotide ribosomal RNA is filed under the name uncultured bacterium. Its description in RNAcentral is "partial 16S ribosomal RNA". It matches the Rfam family "Bacterial small subunit ribosomal RNA", at positions 793 to 1055 of the family's 1533-position model. The record is from RNAcentral.
GUCCACGCCCUAAACGAUGUCUACUGGUUGUUGGAGGGUAAAACCUUCAGUAACGAAGCUAACGCGUGAAGUAGACCGCCUGGGGAGUACGGUCGCAAGAUUAAAACUCAAAGGAAUUGACGGGGACCCGCACAAGCGGUGGAUGAUGUGGAUUAAUUCGAUGCAACGCGAAAAACCUUACCUAGCCUUGACAUGUCAGGAACGCUCCGGAGAUGGAGCGGUGCCCGCAAGGGAACCUGAGCACAGGUGCUGCAUGGCUGUCGU